AAAGUAAGAGGCUUACUACUGUUAAUAGUAAAAUUGAAAUUAUUUUCUAACUAUU
Molecule: transfer RNA, 55 nt
Filed under: Scirtothrips dorsalis
Lineage: Eukaryota; Metazoa; Arthropoda; Insecta; Thysanoptera; Thripidae
Description: tRNA-Asn
Source: RNAcentral